GUAAUGAUGAAGAGGAAAAGAAAAAAGAUUUGCGCGAACACAAAGGGUUAUUAUUUAUUACAUUAUAUUUUAUUUUGUUUAAGCUUUCCCUACUAUUACUUGUUGUUAUUGCUGCAUUUUAGCAAAGA
This 128-nucleotide non-coding RNA is filed under the name Chaetoceros dichaeta. Lineage: Eukaryota; Bacillariophyta; Thalassiosirophyceae; Chaetocerotales; Chaetocerotaceae. The record is from RNAcentral.